Molecule: transfer RNA, 77 nt
Filed under: Alphaproteobacteria bacterium
Lineage: Bacteria; Pseudomonadati; Pseudomonadota; Alphaproteobacteria
Description: tRNA-Arg
Rfam family: tRNA
About the family: Transfer RNA (tRNA) molecules are approximately 80 nucleotides in length. Their secondary structure includes four short double-helical elements and three loops (D, anti-codon, and T loops).
Source: RNAcentral
GCGCUUGUAGCUCAGCUGGAUAGAGCGUCGCCCUCCGAAGGCGAAGGCCGUGAGUUCGAAUCUCGCCAAGCGCGCCA